Molecule: ribosomal RNA, 977 nt
Filed under: uncultured Actinomycetes bacterium
Lineage: Bacteria; Bacillati; Actinomycetota; Actinomycetes
Description: bacterial SSU rRNA
Rfam family: Bacterial small subunit ribosomal RNA
Source: RNAcentral
GUCGAACGAGAAAGCCCUUCGGGGUUAGUAAAGUGGCGAACGGGUGAGUAACACGUGGGCAAUCUGCCCUUCGUUGGGGGACAACCGGGGGAAACCCCGGCUAAUACCCCGUAAGCUUGUCGGGUCACAUGGCCUGACAAGGAGAGGUAGCUUCGGCCAUCCGGCGAAGGAGGAGCCCGCGGUACAUUAGCUAGUUGGUGAGGUAACGGCUCACCAAGGCUACGAUGUAUAGCUGGUCUGAGAGGAUGAUCAGCCACACUGGGACUGAGACACGGCCCAGACUCCUACGGGAGGCAGCAGUCGGGAAUCUUGCACAAUGGGCGAAAGCCUGAUGCAGCAACACCGUGUGAGCGAUGAAGGCCCUAGGGUCGUAAAGCUCUGUUUGCGAGGACGAAGGGCGAAGGGUUAAUAGCCCUUAGCCUGACGGUACUUGUACAGAAAGCCCCGGCUAACUACGUGCCAGCAGCCGCGGUAAUACGUAGGGGGCGAGCGUUGUCCGGAAUUAUUGGGCGUAAAGAGCGUGUAGGCGGCUUGGUAAGUCUGCUGUGAAACCUUGGGGCUCAACCCCAAGCGUGCAGUGGAUACUGUCAAGCUAGAGGAUGGUAGAGGCCAGUGGAAUUCCCAGUGUAGCGGUGAAAUGCGCAGAUAUUGGGAGGAACACCAGUAGCGAAGGCGGCUGGCUGGGCCAUUCCUGACGCUGAGACGCGAAAGCUAGGGGAGCGAACAGGAUUAGAUACCCUGGUAGUCCUAGCUGUAAACGAUGAACACUAGGUGUGGGGGGAGUCGAAUCCCUCCGUGCCGAAGCCAACGCGUUAAGUGUUCCGCCUGGGGAGUACGGCCGCAAGGCUAAAACUCAAAAGAAUUGACGGGGGCCCGCACAAGCAGCGGAGCAUGUUCUUUAAUUCGAUGCAACGCGAAGAACCUUACCUGGGCUGACAUGGCACUGCAAGCGCACGGAAACGUGUGACCUUCGAGGG